This 468-nucleotide ribosomal RNA is filed under the name uncultured bacterium. RNAcentral's name for it is "partial 16S ribosomal RNA". It matches the Rfam family "Bacterial small subunit ribosomal RNA", at positions 28 to 507 of the family's 1533-position model. The record is from RNAcentral.
GACGAACGCUGGCGGCGUGCUUAACACAUGCAAGUCGAACGGAAAGGCCCUGCUUUUGUGGGGUGCUCGAGUGGCGAACGGGUGAGUAACACGUGAGUAACCUGCCCUUGACUUUGGGAUAACUUCAGGAAACUGGGGCUAAUACCGGAUAGGAGCUCCUGCUGCAUGGUGGGGGUUGGAAAGUUUCGGCGGUUGGGGAUGGACUCGCGGCUUAUCAGCUUGGUGGUGGGGUAGUGGCGUACCAAGGCUUUGACGGGUAGCCGGCCUGAGAGGGUGACCGGCCACAUUGGGACUGAGAUACGGCCCAGACUCCUACGGGAGGCAGCAGUGGGGAAUAUUGCACAAUGGGCGGAAGCCUGAUGCAGCAACGCCGCGUGCGGGAUGACGGCCUUCGGGUUGUAAACCGCUUUCGCCUGUGACGAAGCGUGAGUGACGGUAAUGGGUAAAGAAGCACCGGCUAACUACGUG